This 21-nucleotide small RNA is filed under the name Arabidopsis thaliana (thale cress). RNAcentral describes it as "ATSL307320". Lineage: Eukaryota; Viridiplantae; Streptophyta; Magnoliopsida; Brassicales; Brassicaceae. The record is from RNAcentral.
AAUCAAAGGAGGAAAAAAAAC